GCAGUAGCUCAGUAGGACAGCAUCUGCUUUGUGUGCAGAAGGUUGCAGGUUCAAACCCCAGCAUCUCCA
This is a non-coding RNA of Podarcis lilfordi (Lilford's wall lizard), 69 nucleotides long. Lineage: Eukaryota; Metazoa; Chordata; Lepidosauria; Squamata; Lacertidae. The record is from the annotation of a GenBank genome assembly.